RNAcentral lists this ribosomal RNA (483 nucleotides) under uncultured bacterium. RNAcentral's name for it is "partial 16S ribosomal RNA". It matches the Rfam family "Bacterial small subunit ribosomal RNA", at positions 28 to 507 of the family's 1533-position model. The record is from RNAcentral.
GACGAACGCUGGCGGCGUGCUUAACACAUGCAAGUCGAACGCUGAAGCUCAGCUUUUGUUGGGUGGAUGAGUGGCGAAAGGGUGAGUAACACGCGAGUAACCUGCCCCCUUCUUUGGGAUAACGCCUGGAAACGGGUGCUCAUACUGGAUAUUCACUGGACUUCGCAAGGGGGUUGGUGGAAAGGGUUUUUCUGGUGGGGGAUGGGCUCGCGGCCUAUCCGCCUGUUGGUGGGGUGAUGGCCUACGUAGGCUUUCACGGGUAGCCGGCCUGAGAGGGUGGCCGGUCACAGUGGGACUGAGGUACGGCCCAGACUGCUACGGGAGGCAGCAGUGGGGAGGAUGGCGCAAUGGGCGCAAGCCUGAUGCAGCGGCGCCGCGUGAGGGAUGGAGGCCUUCGGGUUGUGAACCUCUUUCGCUCAUGGUCAAGCCGCAACAAUGGUUGUGGUGAGGGUAGUGGGUAAAGAAGCGCCGGCUAACUACGUG